CAACAAAAUUAUCACAAAAAAAUAUUCAUCAUCGGAAAUGUCGAAGGACAUGAUUUUCAACAUAUAAACGUCAGCGAUUCGCCGAUCGAUUGCACAAAAGUUUACAGAACUUCGGAAAACAAUAAUCGCUUAAAAUAUAAAAUAAAAAAAUGUCGAAAAUAAUUUUAUUAUUAUCAAUUUUCGUAUUGAUUGGUCUCUAUGCAGAUGCAGAUGCAGCAUGUCCAGGCGGAUGGUGUCAUCCAUCUCAGGGUUACGGCUGUUGUGCAGGUCAUCAAUGUAGCGAGCACUAUUUUGAAGGUACAUGUUUAACUGAUGCGGAAUAUGAAUCGCUGUCAAUAGACUUAGAGUGAGCAACAAGAAAAUAAUUAUGACAAUACAGUAAAGAUUUAAACAAAUAUAUUUUUUUAUUGAAUAAAAAUCUUUUAUUUUCAAAACUAAUUUUAAAGAAUAUGUUUUUAUUUACUGACAAUUUAAUGUUUUGUUUAUUAAUCGUAGUAGCUGUUAGUAGCACUUUUAGGAAAAUCUUGGUGUAAUAGUUAUUUAUGUACCUUGGGCGAAUCUCGCGCCAUUACGGUCGAGGUGAGUAAUGUUUGCAGCAGGGAUAGUAUAAAGCCGAAGUCAGUUAGGGCCAUUUAAAUAUAGUGGAAACCUAAACAUGCAAACCUCAAUAAGACAAUUUAUAGAUAAAUUGAGAAAAAUAUAGAUAAUAGCCCGAACUGGGAAUCGAACCCAGACCAAUUCGGUAUCGCGCCGAGUGCUCUACCAGUUGAGCUAUCCGGCACUAUACUAUAUUCCGCUAACUUUAAAUGCACGUUUUUUUGAGGUUAUGUUUACUGCGCAACGUGUUCGUUUUAGCGUGCGCCUCGGCGCUCGAGGGGAAUAUAUUGUAGGGGAAGUGCUGAUGGUGGGGAGGGAACCUUUAGGCAAUGGUCCUGUCCCGACGUGGAACCUUUAGACAGAAUCGACUGUAGCAGAUGGGGGUAAAAAUGUCGCACGAUCUGGCUGCACUGGUUGCAACACUUUUUCCUUGAACUAGAUGAACUCUAUAAAACUCGAUGUCACUAGUUAUCUAAGGCAACUAUUUUUUAGCGAUCCUGUUUUGCCCAACUCUGUUCUAUGUAUUUUUCAUAUUCGACUUCUGAUCUCAACCUCGAUACUUCGCGAUAACUUUGGGUCUUUUGUGGCAUUUAAAAAUCUUGUAAGACGUAACUCACAGCAAUUUUCCAUUUCUUUUUUUUUUUUACAAUGUAAUGUAUUUAUUAGUUUAUAAAGUUAAUUCUGCGUCUAAAAAUUAGUUAUCAUUUUCUAUGAUUAAUUAAAUGUAUUAAUGAUCGAAUGAAUGUUUACUUGUUGUGCAACAAAGUUAUCACAAAAAAAUAUUGAUAAACGGAAAUGUUGAAGGACACUAUUUUCAAUUUCAAUGUAUAUAAAAGUCAGCAAUCCACAGAUUGCUUAUACACAAGAUUACAGAACUUCAGAAAACAGUGAUCGGUAAAAAAUAGUUGCUGCUUACAUAUUUUUAAAUAUAACUUUUAUACUAUUGAAUCUAUGGAAAAAAUGUCUCAACAUAUAAAAUAAAAAAAUGUCGAAAAUAAUUUUAUUAUUAUCAAUCUUCGUGUUGAUUGGUCUCUAUGUUGGUGCAGAUGCAGCAUGUCCAGGCGGUUGGUGCCAUCCAUCUCAGGGUUACGGCUGUUGUGCAGGUCAUCAAUGCAGUUCGUAUCGUAUGCAAGGUACAUGUAUAACGGAUGCGGAAUAUAAAUAUCAAAUGUAUAGCGGAGUUUGAGCAGCAACAAAAUACAUAUGAUAAUACUGUACAGACUUGAAAAUUUAUUUUGUUGAUCAAUAAAUAUCUCUUAUUCACAAAACUAA
Long non-coding RNA from Microplitis mediator, 1869 nucleotides. RefSeq lists it as uncharacterized. Lineage: Eukaryota; Metazoa; Arthropoda; Insecta; Hymenoptera; Braconidae. The record is from RefSeq and is a predicted model, not a curated record. The transcript is spliced from 5 exons.